AGAUCGGGCGGCCGGGGAAAUGCCCCAGGAAUUGCGGUUCGUUGGCGGAGACGUUCUUGAUGCCGAUGCCGCUGAAGUCCUUGCGAAUGUCGAUCACCCGGUCGAUCAGCAGCAUGGGAUAGCGAUGCGGCAGGGUUUUCAGAAUCUGCCCGAUGUCCACGGCCUCGAUGGUGAUUGGUGCCUGCUCGUCCAUUAUGUCUGUUCCCCGUCGCCCGACGGCUUCGAUUUCAAUUUCGCAAUGCCUUCCCGGCCCAGACGCUCCACCUCGAACAGUUCGCGGAAGAACUGCUUGAUCGGCUUGGCCGGAGAGNNNNNNGCGCGCCGGCCGGCACCUCGCCGACGACGCUGCUUCGUGCCGCGAUCUGUGCCCCGUCGCCGAUGGUGGCGUGAUCGCUCACGCCAAUGCGCGCGGCAAGGACCACCCCGUCACCCAGCG
This 436-nucleotide unclassified non-coding RNA is filed under the name Hevea brasiliensis (rubber tree). Lineage: Eukaryota; Viridiplantae; Streptophyta; Magnoliopsida; Malpighiales; Euphorbiaceae. The record is from RNAcentral.